Panicum virgatum (switchgrass) is the source of this 1351-nucleotide long non-coding RNA. RefSeq lists it as uncharacterized. The transcript has 2 exons. The record is from RefSeq and is a predicted model, not a curated record. Lineage: Eukaryota; Viridiplantae; Streptophyta; Magnoliopsida; Poales; Poaceae.
CGACCCCCUCUCUCUUUCCAUGGGAGAUGCAGCGGCGGCAACAGCCCGCCUCAAUGCCUUCCAUCCACAGCGUCCUGCCCGCGUGGACGUGGAGUCGUGGGUGGCCGCUGCCACGCGGUGCCCGCAGUCGAUCGCGCUCACCGCGGAGGAGCUCCAAGCGUGGGGCCGCAUGGUAGCGCCCGAGCACCCUGGCUCCUUCUCCCGCACCCACGCCCCGCGGGCGGCACCCGUCCUCUCCCCUCCCGCACCCCCGCCGGCCUCCUGCGCAGUAGCGGAGCACGGCGGCUCUGGCGAUGGAGGCGGUCGCCGGGAGCGCGGAGGCAGCCGCGGGGUGCCAAAUCCCGUCGACAAACCGCGCGGUCGCUCCCCUUCCAUGCCACGCGCCUCCCCUUCUCUCUCGCCGCACCCGAACCACAACUCCUGCACCCACACACGUGCCAUGGAAUCGCAGCUCGUCGGUGCCUAAUCACGCUUGCUCGCAGCUCGUCCUGGAGUUGAGCGCCUAAUCACGCUUGCCGUGCCUUCCUCCUCCCUCCCGGCCUGCCUAUAAAGCCCGCGUGCCCCUCCGCCGGCAGCAGUCACCACGUAGAUUUCGAUUCCUUCCACCAAAACAACCCCUCGUUCCGACCGUGUAGCAGCAGCGGAAGCAAGAGCGAUCCGCCGCCGAGGGAAGAGCAGGGCGGAGGGAGAGAUGGCGAGCUUUAAGGUCGCCGACGCGUCGGAGUACCUGACCAUCACCGGCUGGGUCGUCGGCGUCAAGCUCGCGAAGAAGGCGUGGGUGUGGGUGUGGGUGUGGAUGAAGAUGUUCUUGUUCACUCUGCUCUUUGGAUCCCUAUCACUGUCUGCACAAGGUGGUCGACCACAAUUAUUAAAUGCUAGAAGUUUUACAGCUAAUAACACCAUCAACUCAAAAUCAUUUGAUGAGAGCAAGAUUACCCUGAUAUUUUGUUCUUGGGGUAAGUGCGAUUUUUUCGGACAUGGCCUGCAUGAUUGUUAUUGCUGUCCGGAUGGAAGUUGGAAAGAGUAUUGCCACCAGACAAUGGAAGAGUGCAGGGCGAAUUGCGCUCUGUGCAGACCCAAAUGCUAGCUACCACCAUUUGCGUGAUUGAUGAUGGAAGGCAUUGUGUGAUCCAAAAAUCAAUCCACUAUAAUAGAUCACUAGUGCUUUAUUUAUAUCACUGUUGGAAAAUAAAAGAACAAUAGGUCCUUUGAGAGAUUUUUUUAGGAAAAUAAACUUUCUGCUUCUCAAAAAUAAUACCUUGAGAAUAUUAGCAUCUAGCAGAUACUGUACAAAUGCAUAGGUGGUAUAUCAAUAAUUCAAUUUCAAUAUAUAUCAAUAAUUCAAUUUCAA